Molecule: ribosomal RNA, 352 nt
Filed under: uncultured bacterium
Lineage: Bacteria
Description: bacterial SSU rRNA
Rfam family: Bacterial small subunit ribosomal RNA
Source: RNAcentral
GGAGGAUCCGAGCGUUAUCCGGAUUUAUUGGGUUUAAAGGGAGCGUAGGUGGACAGUUAAGUCAGUUGUGAAAGUUUGCGGCUCAACCGUAAAAUNGCAGUUGAUACUGGCUGUCUUGAGUACAGUAGAGGUGGGCGGAAUUCGUGGUGUAGCGGUGAAAUGCUUAGAUAUCACGAAGAACUCCGAUUGCGAAGGCAGCUCACUGGACUGCAACUGACACUGAUGCUCGAAAGUGUGGGUAUCAAACAGGAUUAGAUACCCUGGUAGUCCACACAGUAAACGAUGAAUACUCGCUGUUUGCGAUAUACAGUAAGCGGCCAAGCGAAAGCAUUAAGUAUUCCACCUGGGGAGU